GGGACAACCCGCCGAAAGGCGGGCUAAACCCGCGUACAUGCCACCGGGGCAUCCCGGAGGCAGGAAAGGCUUCGGCCGGACAGGGAUGGGCAUGCGGCGCAUUAGGCAGUAGGCGGGGUAACGGCCCACCUAACCGACGAUGCGUAGGGGUUCUGAGAGGAAGGUCCCCCACACUGGUACUGAGACGCGGACCAGACUCCUACGGGAGGCAGCAGUGAGGAAUAUUGGUCAAUGGUCGGGAGACUGAACCAGCCAAGCCGCGUGAGGGAGGAAGGCACAGAGUAUCGUAAACCUCUUUUGUCAGGGAACAAAGACUGGGACGCGUCCCCGGAUGAGUGUACCUGAAGAAAAAGCAUCGGCUAACUCCGUGCCAGCAGCCGCGGUAAUACGGAGGAUGCGAGCGUUAUCCGGAUUUAUUGGGUUUAAGGGUGCGCAGGCGGUCUGUUAAGUCAGCGGUCAAAGCCCGGGGCUCAACCCCGGCCCGCCGUUGAAACUGGCAGUCUCGAGUUGGAGAGAAGUAUGCGGAAUGCGCGGUGUAGCGGUGAAAUGCAUAGAUAUCGCGCAGAACUCCGAUUGCGAAGGCAGCAUGCCGGCUCCACACUGACGCUGAGGCACGAAAGCGUGGGUAUCGAACAGGAUUAGAUACCCUGGUAGUCCACGCAGUAAACGAUGAAUGCUGGCUGUCCG
RNAcentral lists this ribosomal RNA (687 nucleotides) under uncultured bacterium. Its description in RNAcentral is "bacterial SSU rRNA". It matches the Rfam family "Bacterial small subunit ribosomal RNA", at positions 140 to 826 of the family's 1533-position model. The record is from RNAcentral.